GACGAUCAGCCACACUGGGACUGAGACACGGCCCAGACUCCUACGGGGGGCAGCAGUAGGGAAUCUUGCGCAAUGGGCGAAAGCCUGACGCAGCAACGCCGCGUGGGGGAUGAAUGCCUUCGGGUUGUAAACCCCUUUCAGCAGGGACGAAAAUGACGGUACCUGCAGAAGAAGCUCCGGCCAACUACGUGUCAGCAGCCGCGGUAAUACGUAGGGAGCGAGCGUUGUCCGGAAUUAUUGGGCGUAAAGAGCUCGUAGGCGGUUCAGUAAGUCGGGUGUGAAAACUCUGGGCUCAACCCAGAGACGCCACUCGAUACUGCUGUGACUUGAGUCCGGUAGAGGAGUGUGGAAUUCCUGGUGUAGCGGUGAAAUGCGCAGAUAUCAGGAGGAACACCAGCGGCGAAGGCGGCACUCUGGGCCGGUACUGACGCUGAGGAGCGAAAGCAUGGGGAGCAAACAGGAUUAGAUACCCUGGUAGUCCAUGCCGUAAACGUUGGGCACUAGGUAUGGGAUCAUAUCAACGGAUUCCGUGCCGUAGCUAACGCAUUAAGUGCCCCGCCUGGGGAGUACGG
Molecule: ribosomal RNA, 572 nt
Filed under: uncultured Actinomycetes bacterium
Lineage: Bacteria; Bacillati; Actinomycetota; Actinomycetes
Description: bacterial SSU rRNA
Rfam family: Bacterial small subunit ribosomal RNA
Source: RNAcentral